Molecule: ribosomal RNA, 233 nt
Filed under: uncultured bacterium
Lineage: Bacteria
Description: partial 16S ribosomal RNA
Rfam family: Bacterial small subunit ribosomal RNA
Source: RNAcentral
GAUCUAGCUCAGGAUGAACGCUAGCUACAGGCUUAACACAUGCAAGUCGAGGGGCAGCAUGGUCUUAGCUUGCUAAGGCCGAUGGCGACCGGCGCACGGGUGAGUAACGCGUAUCCAACCUGCCUUACACUCUUGGACAGCCUUCUGAAAGGGAGAUUAAUACAAGAUGUUAUCAUGAGUAAGCAUUUUCGCAUGAUUAAAGGUUUACCGGUGUAAGAUGGGGAUGCGUUCCA